This is an RNA transcript of Syngnathoides biaculeatus (alligator pipefish), 9940 nucleotides long. It is a transcript of the gene named plexin b1b, with no coding region annotated. NCBI's taxonomy places the organism in Eukaryota, Metazoa, Chordata, Actinopteri, Syngnathiformes, Syngnathidae. The record is from RefSeq and is a predicted model, not a curated record. The transcript is spliced from 38 exons.
CUCUCAAAUCUGACGCAGUGAGUUCAAAGAAAGGACAUAGUUAGCAAUCGUCAUGCUUGCACAAUACGGUAACAAGAAAGAAAAACAAUACGCAGCGGCUUUCUACGUUGAGCCGAAGAUAGUGUUUAGAAACAACAAGUAGACAUGAAUGCGGCAAGAUAUGUCUCCCCACCCCCCUGCAAGAGCCCCCUUUGAAAGAGCUGGCCGUUGUUUACAGCUUGAAGCCGCUCAAUCAGCUCACACUACUGCCUGCUGGACUCCAUGUGGGUUUAUCUCAACAGAGAUGAUAGGAAUCUAAACACACAUAUUUCAUUGGAGUAGCAAGUGAAGCUGCACAUUUCAUUUCAAAGUUUGUCUGCGUAUACUAUUAAACAUUUAAUUGUUAAGUACACAUCUGCAAGACCAAACUGGCCGAGAGUGGAAUUUCGGUUUUCCUAACUCGGAAAGAAAGUUUACUGCCCCUGCCGACAGCACCGGCUUCGCAUGUGUUGGAUAUCUAAACUUUACCACACUACGACGAGAAGGAAAAACACAUCUUUUGGAAAAAUGGAUGGCGUAGUUGUACACGUAAAGAGUGUGUAUGCCAAAAUUGCUGGAAGCGAAAGAUGUGGAAUGCCCCUGUAAAACGCCAAAGAAAAUAAAUGAUCUGCUGCCAUGCCAGUGUGGGUGAUAUGUCAUCUUCGAAUGAUAGCAGUGAUAUCACUGCUAUCACUUUUGCUAUUAGCAACUGGGCUGGGCCUGAGUUCAACACGUGGUUUUGUGGUACAAGGAAAAGACUCAUAUUCUCCCUCUUAUCCCACUUUCUUACGGAAUGACACAGAAUUUGAACACUUGGCCUUGCAUCCUCACCCCAAUGUGGGUCGAGUUUACGUUGGCGCUCGUGACAACUUGUUUCAGUUGGACAAAUUUCUCCAGCCUGAACUCCAGGAUCACACUGGACCAGUCAAAGACAGCCAAGAGUGCUUGCCUCCUGUGACCUUGAAUAACUGUCCUCAAGCAAGGCUCACGAGCAACCACAACAAGCUCUUGCUGAUUAACCCAUACACCAUGGAACUUAUUACUUGCGGCAGUGUUAACCAAGGUAUCUGCCAGAAACGAAGUCUUGAUUCUGUCAAAAAGGUGUUGUUCUCCACUGAGACACCAGUGGAUACUCAGUAUGUAGCAGCUAAUCACCCAAAUGUUAGUACCGUUGGCCUCAUCGUUCAGUCCCAUCCGCACAGCCAGCCGGUUCUUUUUGUUGGUCGCGGCUACACAAGCAGCCACCCGCCCAUUGCCACACGAAACCUUGACCAGGAACCCAUCUUUUCUUAUGAGGAAACUGCAAAAUUAGCUGUGGCUGGUCGCCUCUCUGAAUAUGACCACCAUUUUAUAGCAUCCUUUGCCCACCAUAAUCAUGUGUACUUCCUUUUCUACAGGCGAGACUUGACGUCAAAGUCACGCGAGUACCGCACAUACGUCUCUCGUAUAUGUUUGGAUGAUCAAGCCUAUUACUCAUAUGUGGAAGUGCCCUUGACAUGUCAUUCCCGGGCAGGAAAGAAUUAUAAUCUCCUUCAAGCAGUCGAUCUAGGAUUCUCCAAAGAUGGCACAGGGAAUCAAGGGUCUGAGAUUAUUCUUGGUGUUUUUUCCACUCCGUUGGCUUCAUCAAAUCGACCCAGUGAGGACUCUGCCCUAUGCAUGUUUAACCUGGAAGAUGUGGACCGCAGGAUAAACUCCACCAGAGACCUAUGUUACACAAAGAUGGGCAGAGAGUCCGGAAUGGAGGCAGCCUACAUUGAGUACGAAGUCAAAUCUAAAUGUGUCAACCUGCUCGAGAAUACUCUUGAUCGGUACCCUUGCGGAUCUGAUCACACACCUAGCCCCAUGGGUAGUCGGAUUGCUGUGGAAGCUGAAACAAUUUUGGACAGCCCCUCUGCUCGACUCACAGCGGUUGCAGUAAGCAUGAGGGCGGGCCAUACGAUUGCAUUCUUGGGAGACUCCAAGGGAAACCUGCACAAGGUGUUCCUAGGGCCAAAUGGUGAAGUGGAGGAAUACUCCAUAUGUUCCAUUCAGCAGAACACAGCCAUCAACUCAGACCUUGUCCUGGAUAAAGAAGAGCAGCAUCUGUUCAUCAUGACCCAUAACAUGCUGCAGAAGAGGCCAGUAGCUGAAUGCCAGCAGAACCCCGACUGUCACUCCUGCCUGCAGGCCCAUGAUCCUUACUGUGGCUGGUGUGUCCUUGAAGGAAGAUGUGUUUUGCAGGCAGAGUGUCCUCGUGGGAACCACCAUGGCCAGUGGUUUUGGAGCUUUGACAUGGAACAGCAGUGCCUGGCUGUCCAAGCAAUCAACCCAUUAAACAUCAGCAGGGGGGAAAGUAGGACAAUCUCUUUAUUGGUUCCAGGGCUUCCAGUUUUAGAAAAGGGUGAGUCCUUCUCCUGUUUUUUCCAAGGGAUCCGCAGCCCUGCCACAGUCACUGCAAGUGGUGUCACCUGUCAUUCUCCACACAUCAGCGAAGUGCCCAUAGUACCUCCAGGACAGGAUUUUGUCACAGUCCUCUUGUCUCUUCGUUUUGGUGAUGUCACAGUUGCAGAGAGGUAUUUCACCUUUUAUGACUGCGUGGCUGUUAAGCAGCUUUCAGGAAGUCUGCUCUGCCGUGGUUGUGUUCUGAGCCAAUGGGGUUGUAAUUGGUGUGUUCACCAGCACUUAUGUACCCACAAGCCCACUUGUGAAAAAGGUGUUAUCAUCUAUAACCAACAUUUCGAACUCCCCACCUCAGCUCCGACCACUACCAACAGGCUAAAGGUAUUCUCAACGCCCACUACCACAGUUGUGGCCACAGGCACUGCAGCCAUCACAGUAGCUCCUACAACAAUAGCAUCAACUAUUGCCACAACAACUACACUUCCUUUUGCUGCGUUGACAAUUCAGGCACCGACCAGCCCACCUGCACCAAUAACCUCACAUGCCAUUGUUCCUCAGAUGACCACCACCCCUCAGCUUUCCAGUAGCAUGACAAUCACAAAACCCACAUCUAUCACAUUUCCACCCAUAGACAUUAAAACCAGGAAAGAAGAAUCUUCUGAUGCAGUUGAGGUUAUGUUCGUCUCUGAAACAGGCAUAGAGUCUACUGAAGUUAGUACUCAUUUAAAUGUAGAAUUAUUGCCUGUGCCAAUUGAUGGGGAUCUAAAGCCCAUAAUGCCUCAGGUUAUCCCACCUCCUGACUCUGACUCCCUGGAAGUGAUAACAGAGUUACCCAUCACUGAAACUCAGGAACUUGGUGUAACACUGAGCUGGGUGGAUCCACUCACCUUGACAUCAUCUGACUUCCCUCGACCAACACCCUUUCUCAAAGCCGAAUCAGCCAACUCUGAGUCUUCCAUCAAACUGGAUCUGAUUGAAGCACCAACUCUCGUACCAACUCUAUACUAUCAAACUCAGUCUCAAAGCAGGGAUUUUAACCCUGGUGUGCUCUGGUCCAAGGAGGAAGAUGACAUCCAUGCUCAUAGCACCUUCCUUGCAGACAACAACAUCGCCAAUCUUUCAGCUGGCACCAUGCUUUCAGGUGAUGGUGAAGUUGACUCUGCAUCCCCAGUUUAUCCCCACUUGGUGGAUACUGAACUGGACUACCAGUAUGAUCCUGGUGACAGCUUCCUCCCGGGGGAUGAGGAAUCCUAUGUCAGCUGGGGUUCUUCAGCUUGCCCUUGUGUGGAGAAGGUCCAGAGUUCAUUGUUACUCCCUGUCAGAGUUGAGAGGAAAAUCACUUUACUUGCCCGCAACCUCCAUCUGUAUCAGGAUACUGAGUUGGACUAUCAAUGUGUGUUGGUCAUUGAAGGGCAAACAGUGGUGGUGGAUGCCUAUGUGGAGACUGAUGACAUGAAUCCAUCCUACUUUGAUAUCACCUGUCAACUACACCAGUACACAUAUUCUGCCCCCGUGGAAGAAUAUCAAGCGAUGGUGUAUGUUAAGAGGAAGGAGAAAUUCCAUGUUGACAGCUUUCCUGACCUUCACGUGACUUUGUACAACUGCUCGGUGGGACGGUCUGACUGUAGUCGUUGCCACACUGUAGAACAGAAGUAUGGUUGUGUGUGGUGUGGUGGUGCACAAGACAGUUGUUUAUAUUCUGGCUCAUGCAGUGAAUCGGUACAGCAGACGUGCCCAGCUCCGGUCAUUCAGUCUAUUGAGCCACUUUCUGGAAUGCUAGACGGUGGCACUAUGGUGACCAUAACAGGCUCCAACCUGGGCCAAAAAGCAGAGGACAUCCUUAAUUCUGUUUCAGUUGCUGGUGUCCCUUGCAUAGUCAUAACCCAUCUCUACGAAGUCUCCUCCAGGAUUGUUUGCAGAACAAAAGCCAGUGAAGGAGAGAAGAUGGGCCAUGUGUCUGUUAAAGUGACCAAAGGAGAGUUUGGCAUUUCCAGACAGACAUUCCGCUUUCAGGAUCCAUUUGUGAUGGGAAUAUUACCUGAAAGAGGUCCCAAAGCUGGCGGAACAACUUUGACAAUCGGUGGCCGAAACCUGUUAACAGGACGUCCUUCGGAUCUCACCGUCACUCUGGGAGGAGUGCCCUGUCACAUGGUGUCAGAGGUUCAGAGCUCCCGUGUUCAGUGUGUGACAGGUUACAGCAACAAGACAGGAAAUCACCAGGUCACUCUGCAUUAUGGCAGCAGCAAACGCCACCUCCACACUUCAUCCUACUAUUACACUCACAACCCCAACAUCACGCACGCCAAGCCAACUAAGAGCUUCCUAAGUGGUGGUCGACUGAUCUAUGUAUCAGGGCACAACCUGGACGUAGUACAGGUGCCCCAGAUGGUUGUCACUGUGUCUCCUUACGAGUCCAUCCAGAAAAUUAGGAGUAGCAGAAGGAAGAAACGCAGAAGCGGAGACGAGAAAGUGGAACAGAUCAAAAUGGCUUCUGAUCUAGUUUGCCUGGGAGAUCUGCUCUGCUCUGUCAAACAGUUCACAGAACGUUGUGAGGUGAAUUCCUCAUCCUUGAUGCUAUGUCGAUCCCCUGUGGUGGACUCUUCUGUUUGGCGGUCAAAGGUCACUGUGGAGUUUCUGCUCGACAACCUUCGAUUUGAUGUUAAGAGUUUGAACUUGCAACCCUUCAGCUAUGAGCCCAACCCCAUCCUGCGCCCGUUGAAUCAGCAGGACCCUCUGAAGGCAUAUCGCUACAAUCCUGGCAGCUUCAUUCAACUUGAGGGGGAAAAUUUAGAUCUAGCUAUUAACAAGGAGGAGGUGCUUGUGUUAAUCGGGGAAGGUGUCUGUGCUGUUAAGACACUUACAAGAAACCAUCUGUACUGUGAACCGCCACAACAUCAGCCUCCAUCGGGAACAGAUGGGAAGAAACGUGACAGUUCUGACACCCUACCAGAAUUCACUGUCCAUAUGGGAAAUAUAAACUUCUCCCUGGGUAAGGUUCAGUAUGACAAUUUAAGCCUGGCCACCUUUCCCUUGGAAGCUCAGAUUGGAGUCGGAGUUGGGGCAUCCAUUGUGGCACUCAUUGUCCUAAUCAUUGUACUUGUCUACAGGAGAAAGAGUAAGCAGGCUCUAAGAGACUACAAAAAAGUUCAAAUCCAACUCGAAAACCUGGAAACAAGCGUGAGGGACCGUUGCAAGAAGGAGUUUACAGACCUGAUGACCGAGAUGAUGGACAUGUCAAAUGACCUAGUUGGUUCUGGAAUCCCUUUCCUUGAUUACCGGAUGUACGCUGAGCGCAUUUUCUUCCCUGGCCACCGGGAGACACCACUGAGGCGAGACCUUGAUGUUCAGGAGUGUCGCAGACAGACAGUGGAGCAGGGUCUGGUGCAACUAUCUAACCUUCUCAACAGUAAACUCUUCCUCACCAAGUUCAUUCAUACCCUGGAAAGUCAACGGACUUUCUCUCCCCGAGACCGUGCAUAUGUUGCUUCUUUACUUACGGUCGCGCUGCACGGCAAACUGGAAUACUUUACUGAUAUUCUCAAAACCCUCUUGAAUGACCUUGUGGAGCAAUAUGUGGCCAAGAACCCCAAACUGAUGCUGCGGAGAACCGAGACAGUGGUGGAGAAGCUGCUGACCAACUGGAUGUCCAUCUGUCUCUAUGCUUUCCUCAGAGACUCAGCAGGGGAGUGCCUUUACAUGCUUUUCAGGGCAAUCAAGCACCAGGUGGAUAAAGGACCAGUUGAUGCUGUAACUGGCAAGGCCAAAUACACACUCAAUGACAACCGCUUGCUAAGAGAGGACGUGGAGUACAAGACCUUGACACUUAAUGUACUGGUCCAGGGUGGAGGAAUCAAUGACUGCCAGCCACUACCCUCAAAAGUGCUGGAUUGUGACACCAUCACACAGGUGAAAGAGAAGUUGUUGGAUCAGGUGUACAAAGGCAUCUCUUUCUCUUACCGACCGCAUACAGAUUCAGUGGACCUGGAAUGGAGGUCUGGUGUUGCUGGUCAUCUCAUCUUGUCAGAUGAGGACUUAACAUCUGUGGUCCAGGGUAACUGGAAACGUCUCAACACCUUGCAGCACUACAAGGUCCCAGAUGGUGCAACAAUAGCUCUGGUCCCUCGCCACACAAAACACAUUCACCAUGACAACCAUGACUAUGUGGCUGGAGAGAAAACACCGAUGUUGGAGGACGCAGAGGAAGGCGGCAUGAGACUUUGGCAUUUGGUGAAGGCCAGCGAAGAAUCUGAGCUGCCCAAACAUCGCAGAGGCAGUCUGAGGGAAAGAGAGAGAGCCAAGGCCAUACCAGAGAUGUACUUGACCCGUCUGCUUUCCAUGAAGGGGACCCUGCAGAAAUUCGUAGAUGAUUUGUUUACAGUUAUCCUCAGCGCCAGUCGACCUGUCCCACUGGCUGUCAAAUACUUCUUUGACCUGCUGGAUGACCAAGCUCGUCAACACUGUAUCUCUGAUCCAGAGACUAUACACAUUUGGAAGACCAACAGUCUCCCCCUGCGUUUUUGGAUCAACAUUGUGAAGAAUCCCGAGUUCAUCUUUGAUGUGCAAGUCUCAGACCAUGUGGAUGCAGUGCUUUCGGUCAUCGCUCAGACCUUCAUGGACUCCUGUACCAUUGCUGAGCACAAAUUGGGACGGGAUUCGCCAAUCAACAAGCUGUUGUAUGCUCGAGAUAUCCCCCGUUACAAACAGAUGGUAGAAAGAUACUAUGCUGACAUUAGGCAGACUAUCUCUGCUAGCGACCAAGAGAUGAACUCUUCUCUGGCUGAACUAUCAAGGAAUUAUUCAGGAGAACUGAACUACUUGGUUGCACUGCAUGAGCUGUACAAGUAUAUUAAUAAAUACUACGACCAGGUAAGCAAAAAGCCCAACCUACCUGUCUAUGUAUACAUUGUUGAACCCAGUGAACCUUUGCAGGUGGUUGGGGAAGCAAGAUGCAUGAUCAAGAAAAAGAAUCAGAACAAUCCUGCUCAUUCUGCUAAAAUUUUAAAUUGGUUCAUGCAACUCUGUGGAGUUCUCAUCUUCUUUUGUUGACUUUCACCAGAUAAUAUUUCUUUCUCCCACAUUCCAGAAAGUUUGGUGAGAUUGUCAGUGCCUACAAAAAUUGCAGAUGGAAAAGUAACUUUGGACAGUAAGAGAGAGAUAAUCACUGCACUGGAGGAGGACACCACAGCCCAGAAGAUGCAGCUUGGCUACAGGCUACAACAGGUUGCUGCAGCUGUAGAGAAUAAGGUCACAGAUUUGUGACAGAAAACUUCUACAAGUGAUAUAACAAACAGUGGCGUGAGGUAGUAUACAUUGCCAGUUGAACUGAAAUGCAUGCUAGCGAUGAAGAUUUUUAGGAUUCAUCGCUUGCAGAAAAGGGGCUGAGUUUUUAAGUCAACUUCAUAAUUUUAUUGUGAAGCAGCUGAAGAUAAGGAUAGCUGAAGUCGACCUCCUAGCUCUUUUUUGUACUAUUUGUACAUUCUGGAUUUUGGUUAUUGUAAGAAUUUGACAAUUAUCUGGAAAAAUAAAGAUGGGAUAUAAAAUUAACAAUUCAGACCUGCUGUUAUGGUAAUCUCCAUUCAUGUUGUUGCUGCUGUUUGGUGAAAUUCAAUUUUUUGCUUACUUCUGAGAUUCCUAAAUAUGUGUGAAGAGUGAUUGUUUGUGAUUUGUUUUUGCUGCUUGUCACUUAACCUAUAUUAUUUUGGUCUUAAAAUGUGCAAAUGUUGUAAAGCGGUAAAAGUGUCAAAAAAUAUAUGCUCUGUAAGUCAUUUAUUGUACAGAGAAUUUGAGACAACUUUUGCCCCCCUUUCACCUUCAUUUUAAACUUCCCCCAUGCCAAUUUAGGUAGGUUUUCAAAGUGCUUCUCUCUCCCUCAACCUGCUGUGGUACAUGACGUGCUUUUAUUCAGUGAAUCAGCGUUGAGUGUAUUUUACACAAACAACAUUAUGAUACUUCCUAGACAUUAUGAUUUAAAUGAUCACAUGAUUCUAAUUUGUUCUGUCUACAGUGUAAGAGACUUUAAUUGAAAUCUGGCUCAUGAGUACUUUAAAGGUACAGUAUGCCCAUUCCCAGUUCCACAUUAGCAGCCCCGCAUAAUUGUGGAUUUUGUCUCAAGAGUUUUUUUCCCCCCAUAAUGUACCAAAUAUUCACAGCCAUAAAUUUCACUCAAAAGUCUGAUACUUCUCCUAAAUAGAAGGGGUACCUUAUAAUUACUGCCUUAUGUGCACACCAAGUUCCAAAAUCUGUAGAUGUUAUGUGACUGCUCCAAUUAAUUACAACUGAACAUUGUUAGCUUGCAUCCUACCAUGUGUUUUAGCAUGUAAACAAACAACCAUAUGAUGGCGCCCAUGAGGCAGAAACAAAUCAUUGCAAUUUUACACAUGUAAACGGAAGAAGCUUACAUCCCCCCAUUCACUGACAGUGUAGGCAAGUCAUUAGUCACCAUGUUGUUCGCACUCACAGUGUCAUAACGAAACUGAAAUGAUCACAGCAAAAAGAAUAGCAUAACUAGCAAAUAAUAAAAUAAAUUAAACAAUGACUGAAGAAAUAACACAAAACAUGCACUUUAAACGUUAUUUGUAUUUUUUGUGUCAAUUAUUUCUUCAAAAUCAGAAUCAGCUUUAAUGGCCAAACACACGAGAAAUUUGUCUCCGGCAGUCGCUGCCGCCCUGGUAUGACAUUCAGAACAAAGAACUAACAAGAACAAAGAACAUGAGACAUUCAUUUUAUAGGAACCAUUCCUUAUAAGAGUCACAGUGGUUGAAGAUAGUCUUCUUCAUUUAGAGCAGUUAACAGUGCGUCAACGCCCCACUUUAUGUUAGGUUUAUACAGAGUGCCCAAACCAAUUCGUGGUUCACCAUUAUAGACCACUGCAAUGACAAUUGUGCAAAGGGAGCGGUUUAAACUGACGAAUUGUGCAAUAGUCUACAGCAGGUGUGCUCAAUGUGUCGAUCAGCCAGGCAGAGGUAGUUUGGUCGAUCGCGUGACAGCGUGCCAAAAAAAAAAAAAAAAAAAGACAGCUUAUCAUCCAUCGUGUUGCUUGAUUCAGGUGUGGCCAUUACGUCGAUCGCACGCGCAUAAAAACAUGUUCUAGCAAGCUAGUCGCCCAUUUAUUUACUUACGAGCUCACACCCAACAUGUCUGUAGUCAUUAAGACCUGAGACUGAUGUUUUUUGGGGGACCGAUAUGAUGUUGGAGUGUUUCAAGCAAGUUAGUAUGUCAGAUAGUUGUAGAGACCUUUUGAAGAUAAUUGUGAAGACAGGAGCAAGUUAGUCUACACAGAGGAGAAAGGAGCUAAUACCUUGUAUGAACUGAUUUACUGCUCAAGAAAAUGUUAGUUCAGAUUUUGAUAGAGGAUUGGAAAUGAUCAAAAAUAUUUCUCAGAGAGAAAUUUAACUAUGACUUUGAAUACAUUGAGAGAUGUAGAGCAGGCUCUGCAAGGAGCAAUUUUAAAUUGUUUUAAUUUGUGUUAUUAACAUUGUCCACACUGUUUUAAAAUGUUACUGUAGUGAUUUAAAUGCUGACGUAAUAAAGUGUUCUAAUUUUG